UAUUUGUCUGUUGCAUCUCUUGCUUGAAGAAGUAUGAAAUCUUCAGCAAUCUUAUGCAUUCCUUGAAUUCUGCUGUUGUUUGUACUGAUUGUGCUGAGUGAAAGAAAUAUGUGUGCAGGGUAGUCCGAACAGUGAUGUGGUGCUUUUUUAUACUUGGGUUACUUCUGACAUCAUUCCACAUACAUCUAUCUCUGCUCUCUUCUCAGAUUCUUUCACCACUUAUCCACUCUUCUCUGCUUUCAAUUCUGCUUCUUCUCUUUCUUUGACUUCUGUUGGAUGAGUGUCUGUCAUCUGUCUCUGUAGAAAUUUGAGUGCUCACUCAACUGUUUUGCCCACUCUCUUCUUGCUCUCCCCCCUUCUGGCCGGUUUUUCUCUGUGUAUGCAUGCCCAUUGUUUUGUUGGCCUCUCUGUGAAUCUCCUCAUUGAAGAUAUUGAAUUGGUGUGCCAGGCUCUGCACAAGAUGGAGGUGUGCACUGCACUUCUAUGCACACAUCUUGAGAUCCUGGAGUCCUUGGUGCAGGCUGAGUUUUAGUUUCCUUUUUGUUGUGUAUGAACAUUUCUGAGGGUUGUUGGUUUGGACAUUUUCAUUGGUGUAUGUCUUUUCUUUUGUUUUUGUGAUGUUCAUGUAUUUUUAGAAGUUGGGUGAAGCCCUUGUGGUGGUCAUUAGAGCUGUGUGUGAAUA
Molecule: small RNA, 682 nt
Filed under: Histoplasma ohiense
Lineage: Eukaryota; Fungi; Ascomycota; Eurotiomycetes; Onygenales; Ajellomycetaceae
Description: hypothetical lncRNA
Source: RNAcentral